RNAcentral lists this small RNA (28 nucleotides) under Bombyx mori (domestic silkworm). RNAcentral's name for it is "ovarian small RNA-17997". The record is from RNAcentral. Lineage: Eukaryota; Metazoa; Arthropoda; Insecta; Lepidoptera; Bombycidae.
GUUUUCCAGGUUUGUGUAUGCUGAUAAC